UCACUGUGAUGAUUGCAUUCCAAACAUUCGCAGUUUCCACCAGAAAGGACGUUCCUUAGUGUUGGCUAGUCCUUCCUUGGAUGUCUGAGUGA
This 92-nucleotide small nucleolar RNA is filed under the name Salvator merianae (Argentine black and white tegu). Its description in RNAcentral is "Small nucleolar RNA SNORD14 (ENSSMRG00000014939.1)". It matches the Rfam family "Small nucleolar RNA SNORD14". From Rfam's summary of the family: U14 small nucleolar RNA (U14 snoRNA) is required for early cleavages of eukaryotic precursor rRNAs. In yeasts, this molecule possess a stem-loop region (known as the Y-domain) which is essential for function. The record is from Rfam by way of RNAcentral. Lineage: Eukaryota; Metazoa; Chordata; Lepidosauria; Squamata; Teiidae.